RNAcentral lists this ribosomal RNA (305 nucleotides) under uncultured bacterium. RNAcentral describes it as "bacterial SSU rRNA". It matches the Rfam family "Bacterial small subunit ribosomal RNA", at positions 333 to 630 of the family's 1533-position model. The record is from RNAcentral.
UGAAUCCUACGGGAGGCAGCAGUGGGGAAUAUUGCGCAAUGGGCGAAAGCCUGACGCAGCGACGCCGCGUGAGGGAUGAAGGUCUUCGGAUCGUAAACCUCUGUCAGCAGGGAAGAACGGUCACUGUGCUAAUCAGCAGUGAAUUGACGGUACCUGCAAAGGAAGCACCGGCUAACUCCGUGCCAGCAGCUGCGGUAAUACGGAGGGUGCGAGCGUUAAUCGGAAUUACUGGGCGUAAAGCGCUCGUAGGCGGUAUGUCAAGUCAAGGGUGAAAUCCCCGCGCUCAACGUGGGCACUGCCUUUUG